GAUUAAUAAGGGCAAAUUCAGUGAAAGCUGAAGACGCAAAAUCACGGGCCUAAUGUCUUAAGACGAUGGCAGCCGGAUUACCGAC
Molecule: non-coding RNA, 85 nt
Filed under: Desulfosporosinus sp.
Lineage: Bacteria; Bacillati; Bacillota; Clostridia; Eubacteriales; Desulfitobacteriaceae
Also listed under: 1 other name
Description: c-di-GMP sequence
Rfam family: c-di-GMP-I riboswitch aptamer
About the family: GEMM was predicted in a large-scale screen for bacterial structured RNA regulatory elements. Genes associated with GEMM are involved in a diverse array of functions, including chemotaxis regulation, signal transduction, secretion and chitin.
Source: RNAcentral